RNAcentral lists this ribosomal RNA (228 nucleotides) under uncultured Glycomyces sp. RNAcentral describes it as "partial 16S ribosomal RNA". It matches the Rfam family "Bacterial small subunit ribosomal RNA", at positions 359 to 588 of the family's 1533-position model. Lineage: Bacteria; Bacillati; Actinomycetota; Actinomycetes; Glycomycetales; Glycomycetaceae. The record is from RNAcentral.
GAAAUUUGCACAAUGGGCGGAAGCCUGAUGCAGCGACGCCGCGUGAGGGAUGACGGCUUUCGGGUUGUAAACCUCUUUUAUCCGCGACGAAGGCUCCGUUUUUCGGGGUUGACGGUAGUGGUUGAAUAAGCGCCGGCUAACUAGGUGCCAGCAGCCGCGGUAAGACGUAGGGCGCGAGCGUUGUCCGGAUUAAUUGGGCGUAAAGGGCUCGUAGGCGGCUCGUCCCGU